RNAcentral lists this transfer RNA (74 nucleotides) under Danio rerio (zebrafish). RNAcentral describes it as "tRNA-Asn (GTT) (tRNA-Asn-GTT-139-1)". It matches the Rfam family "tRNA". From Rfam's summary of the family: Transfer RNA (tRNA) molecules are approximately 80 nucleotides in length. Their secondary structure includes four short double-helical elements and three loops (D, anti-codon, and T loops). Lineage: Eukaryota; Metazoa; Chordata; Actinopteri; Cypriniformes; Danionidae. The record is from Rfam by way of RNAcentral.
GUCUCUGUGGCGCAACUGGUUAGCGCGUUCGGCUGUUAACUAAAAGGUUGGUGGUUCAAGCCCACCCAGGGAUG